RNAcentral lists this ribosomal RNA (211 nucleotides) under uncultured bacterium. Its description in RNAcentral is "partial 16S ribosomal RNA". It matches the Rfam family "Bacterial small subunit ribosomal RNA", at positions 524 to 735 of the family's 1533-position model. The record is from RNAcentral.
UACGUAGGGUGCGAGCGUUGUCCGGAAUUACUGGGCGUAAAGAGCGCGUAGGUGGUUCGUCGCGUCGUCUGUGAAAUUCCGGGGCUUAACUCCGGCCGGGCAGUCGAUACGGGCAAACUGGAGUGCUGUAGGGGAGACUGGAAUUCCUGGUGUAGCGGUGGAAUGCGCAGAUAUCAGGAGGAACACCGAUGGCGAAGGCGACUUUCUGGCA